AUUGAACGCUGGCGGCAUGCCUUACACAUGCAAGUCGAACGGCAGCACGGGAGCAAUCCUGGUGGCGAGUGGCGAACGGGUGAGUAAAGUAUCGGAACGUGCCCAGUCGUGGGGGAUAACGUAGCGAAAGUUACGCUAAUACCGCAUACGAUCUACGGAUGAAAGCGGGGGAUCGCAAGACCUCGCGCGAUUGGAGCGGCUGAUAUCAGGUUAGGUAGUUGGUGGGGUAAAGGCUCACCAAGCCGACGAUCUGUAGCUGGUCUGAGAGGACGACCAGCCACACUGGGACUGAGACACGGCCCAGACUCCUACGGGAGGCAGCAGUGGGGAAUUUUGGACAAUGGGCGCAAGCCUGAUCCAGCCAUGCCGCGUGCAGGAUGAAGGCCUUCGGGUUGUAAACUGCUUUUGUACGGAACGAAAAGGUUUGGCCUAAUAAGCUGGACCCAUGACGGUACCGUAAGAAUAAGCACCGGCUAACUACGUGCCAGCAGCCGCGGUAA
Molecule: ribosomal RNA, 500 nt
Filed under: uncultured bacterium
Lineage: Bacteria
Description: partial 16S ribosomal RNA
Rfam family: Bacterial small subunit ribosomal RNA
Source: RNAcentral